UGGACGGAACUGGAGGCUUCUUCAACAGCGACAACAGACUACUGAUUUAACCAACGUGGUGCUUUGCUAGCGAACAUAAAACCGAUUCAUUGAAGCGGUUUAGACCUAUCUUGUGUAUAUUACUCUUAGUGUUUUGAACAUACUUCUGUUUAUCUAUCUACUAGUUCAUUUAAACGUAAUUUACUUGUUAAAUUAGCAAAUGUGUUAACUUGAUACUGCACUGCACUAGGCUAAUCUCCCGGAGCAUGAGUUCACUAAGCAAGACGGAGAAAGAAGCUCUGGUGAAAUUAGAGAAAGAAGCUUUCAGAAUGAAAAAGGAAAAAGAUGCCAUAACAUUGAAAGAAGGGAAUGUAGUGAAAAAGAGGAAGAACAUUUUGGAGUGAAAAAGGAGGGGGAGACUGAAGUACCGAUUAACACCAGAGAGAGACAUGACUAUCGUGGAUCCUUUGGGGAGCAUCAACAACAUCCUGAUGCUGACGAGGCAGAGAAGAGUCUCUCCAGAUCAGAACACAAGAUGGACAACGCUAGGCCUUCCACCCUCCCGGAGUCCCCGUGUCAUGCCUCUCCCGGUAGCGCCUUACUGCUGGAUAUGAAGAGGUUGUCUAUGCUGCUGGUGGACUGCAGGAAAACAACGGGGCUGAGUGGAACUGUGAGAGGAGGAGAAGAGAAGAAAGGAUCAGAUUUGACUCAUCAAAG
Salmo salar (Atlantic salmon) is the source of this 696-nucleotide non-coding RNA. The record is from RefSeq and is a predicted model, not a curated record. NCBI's taxonomy places the organism in Eukaryota, Metazoa, Chordata, Actinopteri, Salmoniformes, Salmonidae.